Erigeron canadensis is the source of this 537-nucleotide long non-coding RNA. RefSeq lists it as uncharacterized. The record is from RefSeq and is a predicted model, not a curated record. Lineage: Eukaryota; Viridiplantae; Streptophyta; Magnoliopsida; Asterales; Asteraceae. The transcript is spliced from 2 exons.
UUGGUGUGUUUUUUUUUCUUCUUAACAAUUAAACACAUGUAGAAUAGAACUAUGUGAUUUCUAGUGCAUUUACGUAUAUAUAAACAUAGCGAUGCUAUAGCAUUUGUUCAGUUGGAAAAAAAAAACCUUAGGUAGGUACAAUUGCGGAGUCACAUGGCGAUGAGCCGAUGACCGAUGAAGGGGAUGUUUGGUUGGUUGUUUGAUGAUAAUGAAUGAAAUUGUUUGAUGAACGAUUAUAUGAUGGCUCAAGUUAGAAAGAUUAUUCCAUUCACCCCAUUCCAUUAUUUAGACGAUUUAUGUACCUACAUGGAAAAAUUAAUGAAGAGGAGGUAUCUUUGGUAGAAGUAGGACCUACUGAUGCAAACGUGUAGACCACCAAUAGGAGAGCAGCGCGGUGGAGUUGAGUCCGCUUGGUCUGCAUCAAAAUGGGACCAUAUGCACUAUUCUUUUGGUCUUUGUUUGCAUUUUUUUAAAGUCCAAUUUCAUUUCUAGCUAUUUUCCUGUCAUUUAUUCUAAAUAGAUUUUGUAUUUUAAUAA